Molecule: RNA transcript, 1089 nt
Organism: Mercenaria mercenaria
Lineage: Eukaryota; Metazoa; Mollusca; Bivalvia; Venerida; Veneridae
Exons: 6
Source: RefSeq, a predicted model, not a curated record
GGAUACGAUGUUAAUGAAUGGUCUAUAAUAGUCAGCUGUCAUAGUCAGAAAAUUACAGUUGUCAUUUGACUUCUUGACGGAGAACACAUUGAGUGAAACAGUGGACAUAAGAGUGUUUAUAUAUUUUGUUUGGAUUAUUUUAUCACGUUAAAAGACUAAAGAGAUGACGAAGUUCUUGUCGGUCAGCAAACCCAAGUCGUCUGCACAAAUCGUUGCUAAGCAACACAUGAAGAAACAUCUGAAGAGAAUCAGGAACAAAGAAUAUGGUCGUCUGCGGGACAUGGUGCCAGCUAUAGCUAACAAACAACACGUAUCUAAGGUGACUGUUAUUGAAGAGGCGGUGAGAUACAUUGACGAGUUGCACCGAGCUCUUGCCAGCCGACUUACGAACACAGAAAUUACCAGCGCACAUGGUAACGCAGACGUUCUUAAGGACAUAGUUCACAGCUUAAUUCCGACAGAUUUCUUCGAGAGAAGGGCGCCACCUGCUGUAGACUACGAAAAACAACAAAAACUACCAUCAUACCUUUGUAGAAACAAACGACCUGCACGGCUCGUUUAAGUGAUUCUACAUGAUGAUUGUAUAUUUUUUGCUGUGAUAUUGUGCAAUAAGCGUAGCUGUGAUAAUACUAACAACAGACCAAACACAUCAUCAAGCCGGGGACCAAAGAUUCCAUAUAUGAUAAAGUUACGAAUACAAACUGUCAUCGUUUCCGUCUUCUUGUACCAAGUUCCGCAAUAGCACCACAGAGCUUACCUUAACUUGAAACUUCAGUUGUCUUCAGUUUUUUUAAGAUUUUAACACAAACACAAGAGAUUUGAGUGAAGACAGUGGCAGUGAAAGAAGAUAGUUCGCAUUUCAUAACCCUCGCAACUUAACAAAACAAGCAAGAACAUUGAUGAUUUUAUAUUUCUGGCAUUGCCUUACCAAAUGAUUAUCUUACAUAAUGUCUUACGGUUGAUUUUAUCGUCAGAGUGCAAGAUACUUAAAAUGCUUUGACCUACGUGAUACAAAAUGCACGUGGGCAAAAAAAAGAAUAGGUCUGUGAUAUUACUUUGUACUUUCAAAUAAAUUCGUAUUUAAAACUA